This is a non-coding RNA of Phascolarctos cinereus (koala), 5330 nucleotides long. The record is from RefSeq and is a predicted model, not a curated record. Lineage: Eukaryota; Metazoa; Chordata; Mammalia; Diprotodontia; Phascolarctidae.
GCACCUUGACGGCACGAACUGUCCUUUUUUCGUAUUGUUUGUAGCGCCUAGUAGGAGGAGCUUAAUAAAUGCGUAUUGACUGAGCCCAUCUAAAAUAAAUAAACAAUGAUGGUUGGUCCGAGGGCAAGAGGGACUAGCCGUAGGUAGGAGAGUUGGGCAAAGCCUAUGAAAGGAUAUGGCCGAAAGGCGCUAGGGCUUCCAAAAAACCCGAAGCCGCUGAGUCCUCCUCGUAGCCUAGAGCGGCCGGAGAGAAACCUCGGACUUGGCUGGGGCGACUUCCGGGGGGAACUGGAGUCCGGCAACACUUCCGUCCGAGGCUGACUCCCUCCUUUUGUGAGGGCAUCCUGGUUUGGCCAGUCGAUCACGCGCUCCGGAGCAGAGGUUCUAUAUGUUCUCCAGGAUUUUGCCUGCCCUUAUAAGGGAAAGCCAAGAGACAAGGGAAUGGAAACCAAACGCCUACCUUCUGAGCUCCAGGAAUCAGUGGUGUUUGAGGAUGUGGCUGUCUACCUCACCCAGGAGGAGUGGGACUGUCUGCACCCUGCUCAGAGGUGUCUCUACAGAGAUGUGAUGCUGGACAAUUAUGAGAACAUGGCCUCACUAGGAUUUCCUGUGUCCAAACCUGAUGUGAUCUUCUGGCUGGAGCAAGGAGAAGAGCCAUGGGUUUUGGACAUACAAGGAACUACCAGGAGAGAGACCUUGUGAGACAGCUGCUUAGGUGUGCCUCAGGAGGUGGUGAUGAUGAAGAAAAGAGCAGUCAGCAUUGGAAGUGGUCUGAGAAUGAAGUGUCAUCUAGAGAAAGACAGGCAGUACCUGUGAUGAAAAUGAUAGAUACUUGAAGUACUAAACUAUUGAGUCAGUAUGGCAUCCCAAGAAUAGAUUGUGCCAGGUUAAGCUUAUCUAAUGUUUGGAGUGGGAAGUACCACACCAGUACUACCAUUCAACAUCACAGAACCCUGAAAGGUAGAAGCCCCAAUCAGUUGGCACUUCCCCAGUCCCAUGGCUAGCAAAUUGCCACGAUUCCCCUAAUCUCCACGAUUCAGAUGAAAAUCACUUUCUGUUACUUAUCCCAUUUUCUUGUCCUCAUCCAUUACAACUCUAUUCUUCCCCAGUCUCUUUAAUCCUCUGCCUUCCAGUAUCCUGAUUUCCAUGAAUAUUUCUCCCCAUCCAAGAUCCUUCUUUUCACAUUUCCAUCUUCUUAUGCUCACAGAAAUCCUAGUCUCUCUUGAAGACACUGCAUCCCUGACCAUCCUGUCUCCCCAUCCAGGGCUAGUUGCUUCUUUUCACAUUGGGCCAAGCAGAAUCAGCAUAUUCCAUAUUCCUCAUUGCCACUUUCAGAUUCUACCUUUGCCAGAAUCACUUAGCAACCUCUUUGAGAUUUGUCCCAUCUACUUUGAUCAUCCUGUCCCAAUCCUUGUUGCCAUCAUCAGCUGAUCCUCAGGUCACCUUUUCUCUCUUUUUUGUGGUAUCUUCUUCAUCACUAAAAUUUAGUCUUUGCUUUUACUGCAAUUUCUAGGACUGACACCCCAUCCCUUUAUUCCAGGCAGCUUCUUUGCUCUGGCUUCACUUUCCUACCUUAAGAGUUUUGACCCUAUAGCCAAUUUGACUGUAUGCUAUACACCUACUGACUACCUUGCCCCCUUGCCUUUCCAUCAUUUCCUCCAUCCAUUCUUAUUUUGGGAUAUCUCCAUGUUCUCCACUCCUAGAAGCAAUGUGGAGCUGAUGAAGAUUUUGGCAGUUGUGUGGAUGAUGGAUUUAAUGGGGGAGACUAUAAGCCGGGAGAUCAGCUAGGAAGCUAAUACAUUAGGUGAGAGGUAAUGAGGCCUGAACUAGGGAUUCAAUUUGUUGUGUGUGUCCUGAGGGCAGAACUAGAAGCAACAGGUAGAAGUUGUAGAUUAGAUUGCCUCUGAGGUCCCUUCCAAUUCAUGUCUAAGCAAGGAUUCCCUCAGACACUGUCAACAAGUGAUCAUUCAGAGAUCUCUAGUGGGGGAAACUAUACCACUUGAGGCUUCCCUUUCCAGUUUUGGAUCACUGGAAUUAGUAGGAUUUUUUUUUUUAUACACCAGCCUUUAUGUAUCUUGUAUCCAUUUCUCUUCAUUCUGCCCUCUGGGCCCAAGGAGAACAAGAAACAGCCCUUCAGGCACUUGACAGCUAUCAUGCCUCUCUUUUUUUCUUUUUUAGUUGAAAUUCUCUAACUUUCAACUGAUGCUGAUAUAACAUGAUCUCAAGGUCCUUUAUCUUCUUGGUCACUCUCCCCUGAACACUCUCUAUGCCCCUUCUAAAAUUUGAUGCCUAUAACUAAACAUAGUACCCCAGAUGUGAUUCCCACCAGGAUAGAACAGUGAGAUUAUUACCUCCUUUGUUCUACAUGAAAUCACUAUGAGUAGCAUACUACACUCCCAAAUGGACUUAAGGUGUGUUAUUGUUCUGGAAAGUAGGUGAUAUUUAUUUAGUAAACACUUUUAUCAGUUAUAUAGUAUGAAUAAUAUUAAAGUCUUCAUACUAUAUACGGGACAGAAGUUAGUACAUACAGGAUACACAAUAUUUUAAAAAUGUAUCCAGUCUUGAUUUAUUCAACUCUUCCUUCAUGGAGUGGAGAAUGAGGGUGAUAGUAUUUGAGAGGGGAUAGUAGUAAGAUGAGCUUCAAGAGAUUCUCACUAAAACACUAGCCAACAUUUCCCCAGUCAUUUCUAAGCAGUCUAACAUCUGCUUGAUCAGUAAGCCUAUAAUUCUCUUUAGCUACAAAGAUGUAUAUUAUUACAGGCUACUUUUGGAUAGUGCUAAUUGUUAUUUAGCCACUUGUGUCUCAGUGGAGAAAGCAACAUAAAGAUCAUUUCUCGCACCAAACCGGGCACCCUUGGAUUUAUCCAAGAUGAGGGCAGUGGCAGGACUUCUUGGAAUUUCCUGGAAGGCCUUUCUUUGGUUCUUUUAAUAUUAUGGAGAUGCCAGUAUAACACUUGGACUGUCUUUGCUCUCUAAUCUGCUUAAAGGCCGAUGGAUCCCUUCCAGCUGCCUUACCAUUGCUCAUGGAAGCUGUUUCACUUGGCUCUAAUUCAGACAUAGAAUGAAUGGUUUCCUAGCUUUGGAAAUGUAAUGCCUAACAUUUUUACAAUCCCAUUCUAUAACAUCACGAAAGCCUUUAAGGAACAGAUGUUAAUUUCUACUAUUUCUAACUGCCUCAGGCUUCAGCGGGGAAAUCUCCAGUUGGGGGAUCAUGGAGCAUGAGCAGUAGAAAGUUUUGUCUCCUUCAAAGCUAUAUCAUUGUCCAUAACAGGGAUCUGUAAAUAUAGAUUCAGGCUGUCCCUUAUUCACUCUUGGAGCCUGGGUAUUCUCCCCAAAGUAGUCCCUCUGGUUAGAUUGAUCCUCCAGGGCUCUAAGUUUUCUCUAUAAUUUUGGAGUCAGAGGCCUCCCCUAAGGCCCUUAUGGUUAUGGGCAAUGGAAGACUAUAGAUUAUCCUUAUCCUGAGACCCUGGGCAUAUGGAGCUUUUGCUGAUGCUUUCUUUGAUCAAUUUUGCUGGCCUUCUUCUGCCUGUUCCUCAACCAAGAACUCAGCUUCAAAUCAGGCUAGUGUAACCAAGAAGCUUACCAUCUACAAAAGUCUCUAGCUUUCUAGUCCUUGAAAUUGCAGAAAUAUAAAGAUAGAAAUCAGAAAGGGUCCAUUUUUAUCAAUUUUCUAACGAUUAAGAACAAUAUGACAAAAUCUAACACUCAAGAGGUAAUGAAAAAGAGGUUCCAGUCACACAAUACAAAGAGGAGGAGGGGCAUUGCAAAGCUACAGAACUGACAUUAGGCUGUCCUCAGCUAAGUAAAUUCAGCCUUGUAUGUAUAUGAAGUCAGAGCUAAGAAGAGCAGAUGGGAAGAGAACAGGAAUGAUCUUAAAAUAAAACAUUAAAAUUAGCUCCCACUGAUUGGGUAGCUUUCUCCAACAUUUUUAAGCUCCAAGUACCAGCCAGCCCUUGCUAUUCCUUUUUUUUUUUUUUUUUUGCCUCAUAGAGGAAAGGGGAAAUGGAAUCUUGGAACAGAGAACUAGAGAAAAAGGACACAGAGACCCUGAGUAUUCCUUCUUUUUGGCAGUUCUAAUAACUGUGGGCAAGCCGAACAAGAUACUUGUGAGAAUGCAGCUCCUGGGGCUUUUACUUUAAAUGAACACUGAUUAAGUUGGUUUGGCUUUUGGGCACAUUAAGUGGAUGUCAUUUAAGUGUCUGCUCCAGUCCUGUAGGUAUACUACCAGGUAUCUGCAACAUAUCAUGGCCAGUCUGAGCAGCAGAGCAGAAAUCAUAGGGAUGGUUGAAAUGAGCAUGUUUCCCCAGCCCCACCUCUUUUUUUUUUUCAAUAAGGAAUGAUCUUUUAAAGAAACUUUUAAAUUGGAACAGCUUUUGCCUUGUUUUGCUUGGCCUUGAGGUACAGAACUAGAAGCAAUAUGUGGAAGCUACAGUGGGGCAUUGUUUCAACAUAAGGAAGAGCUUCUUAAUGGAGUACAGUAGUCCCAAAUGAAAUGGAUUGUCCCAGGAGGUAGAGCUCUCCACCACUUGAAGGAUUCCGGUUCAAGAACAGGUUGGAGAUGACCUCUAAGAAGUUAUAAUUAGCAAUUUUUGUGCCCAUGGCACUGCUCAUUGAACUGGGAGAUAGGGUGAUGGUGCAAAGGCAUCAAAGAACUCACUGGGAAUGUGGUCACUGGUCCAUUAUUGGGCAGUUUCCUAUUUUAAUUCUUCUUGCUAAUCAGUUGCUAAGUUAUUUUUUUCUGUGAGUGUUGGCAGUGCCCUCAAUUUUUGUGCUUGAAAUUAGCACUGUGAAUUUUUUGAAUUCUGAGCUUUUAUGAGUUUAACUAGUAAAGCAAAUGCUUUAAAGUAGCAUUUUGUCAGCCUGGUGAAACAUGUGGAUUCCUUUUUGGAAUGUUUUUAAAUACAUAAAAUAAAAUGUAUAGAUCAAUAAAGGAAACUAAUUAUACUGUUAUCUAAAAAAAAAUCACAAACUUCUGGUUAAGAACCUCUGCUUUAGAGUAACUUUCUAGAGAAAGACAAACCUAAAGAAACCUGAGAUGCAUGGGUAUAAGUUAGCCAUGCAGAAUAUAGAAGUGGAAUGAACCUCAGAAAUAAUGUAGUCCAACCCACCACUCCUUUUGCAAAUGAGAAAACUAAGGCUGAGUUAAGUGACUUACCCAAGGUCAUACAGGUGACUCAGUACUGUAAUGAAAAGUGUUCAGGAUUUAGAGUCAGAAAGACCUGGAUUCAGAUCCUGCCUAGUUGGGUGUCCUGAAGCAAGUCAAUUAACUUCCAUAAAUCUCAGUCUCCUCAUCUGUAAUGGAAAUGAGGUGCCACAGCAAACAGACCGCU